AAACCGUUGAAAGGGAAGCGAACGGAGCUAGCAAUUCGUCUCGCCAGAUUCAGCCUCUGGCGCGUUGCGACGUGGACGCUCUCGAUCUUUGUGGACGAGUCGUUCGGGUACACGACGCGUGGCGGGCGCACUUCUGACGGACGAGCGUCAACGUCGGUCUGAGGCGGGCUACAAGGUCGCAGGGAAGGUAGACUGUCCUUCGGGGCGGUUGUUAAGCCCAGCGAACGCAUGGCUCGUGGCAGUCCGUGGCAUCUUGUUGCGACGCGUGCCUCUCUUCGUGGAUGGGCUGGGGUCUCGCUUUGUUGGUCCGGUUGUUGAUCGUGGCGGACGGCACGCCUGUGCGCCCAAACCACUGUCGGCCAACAGCUCGAUGAUUACACACUACGCGUCAAGGACGUUGACGGUUAUACGGCUCUCUUCGACCCGUCUUGAAACACGGACCAAGGAGUCUAACAUGUGCGCGAGUCUCUGGGUGAUAGAAACCCGUGGGCACAAUGAAAUUAAAGCCAGUCCUCACUGGUGAGGUGAGAAGCGGCGGCCUCGCGCUGUCGCUGCAUCAUCGACCGACCUAUUCUAUUCCUAGAGAGGUUUGAGUAAGAGCGUACCUGUUGGGACCCGAAAGAUGGUGAACUAUGCCUGAAUAGGGCGAAGCCAGCGGAAACACUGGUGGAAGCUCGUAGCGAUUCUGACGUGCAAAUCGAUCGUCGAAUUUGGGUAUAGCGGCGAAAGACUAAUCGAACCAUCUAGUAGCUGGUUCCCUCCGAAGUUUCCCUUAGGAUAGCUGGAGCUCGGAUGCAGUUUU
Molecule: ribosomal RNA, 802 nt
Filed under: Cavernularia pusilla
Lineage: Eukaryota; Metazoa; Cnidaria; Anthozoa; Scleralcyonacea; Veretillidae
Description: partial large subunit ribosomal RNA
Rfam family: Eukaryotic large subunit ribosomal RNA
Source: RNAcentral